UGCUGAUUAAAGAAAAAGUUCAGUUUAGGGUUUAAAAACCCUAAUGCUGAUUAAAGGAAAGAGUUCAGUUUAGGGUUUAAAAACCUAAUGCUGACUAAAGGGAAAAAGUUCAGUUUAGGGUUUAAAACCCUAAUGCUGACUAAAGGGAAAAAAGUUCAGUUUAGGGUUUAAAACCCUAAUGCUGACUAAAGGAAGAAAAAAAAGUUCAGUUUAGGGUUUAAAACCCUAAUGCUGACUGAAGGAAAAGAGUUCAGUUUAUGGUUUAAAACCCUAAUGCUGACUAAAGGAAAAAGAGUUCGGUUUAGGGUUUAAAACCCUAAUGCUGACUGAAGGAAAGAGUUCAGUUUAGGGUUUAAAACCCUAAUGCUGACUAAAUGAAAGAGUUCAGUUUAGGGUUUAAAACCCUAAUGCUGUCUAAAGGAAAAGUUUAGUUUAGGGUUUAAAAACCUAAUGCUGACUAAAGGAAAAGUUCAGUUUAGGGUUUAAAACCCUAAUGCUGUCUAAAGGAAAAGUUCAGUUUAGGGUUUAAAACCCUAAUGCUGACUAAAGGAAAAGUUCAGUUUAGGGUUUAAAACCCUAAUGCUGACUAAAGGAAAGAGUUCAGUCUAGGGUUUAAAACCCUAAUGCUGACUAAAGGAAAAAGUUCAGUUUAGGGUUUAAAACCCUAAUGCUGACUAAAGGAAAAAAGUUCAGUUUAGGGUUUAAAACCCUAAUGCUGACUAAAGGAAAAGAGUUCAGUUUAGGGUUUAAAACCCUAAUGCUGACUAAAGGAAAAAGUUCAGUUUAGGGUUUAAAACCCUAAUGCUGACUAAAGGAAAAGAGUUCAGUUUAGGGUUUAAAACCCGAAUGCUGACUAAAGGAAAAGAGCUCAGUUUAGGGUUUAAAACCCUAAUGCUGACUGAAGGAAAAAGUUCAGUUUAGGGUUUAAAACCCUAAUGCUAACUAAAGGAAAGAGUUCAGUUUAGGGUUUAAAACCCUAAUGCUGACUAAAGGAAAGAGUUCAGUUUAGGGUUUAAAACCCUAAUGCUGACUAAAGGAAAAGAGUUCAGUUUAGGGUUUAAAAACCCUAAU
Molecule: long non-coding RNA, 1071 nt
Filed under: Nicotiana tabacum (common tobacco)
Lineage: Eukaryota; Viridiplantae; Streptophyta; Magnoliopsida; Solanales; Solanaceae
Description: long non-coding RNA (NTAB_LNC004995)
Source: RNAcentral